Molecule: ribosomal RNA, 498 nt
Filed under: Triticum aestivum (bread wheat)
Lineage: Eukaryota; Viridiplantae; Streptophyta; Magnoliopsida; Poales; Poaceae
Description: partial small subunit ribosomal RNA
Source: RNAcentral
AUGUGGUUCAUGCCAACAGCAAAUAUGCACAACUUGAUAAGAUAUAUACCUUUCUGGGAUCAAGUGCAUCCUAACUCACCUGCGCAGGAUAAGGAUUGGUCGGUGCUGCCGGCUGGCGUCAAGUUCGAUCCCACGGAUCAGGAGCUGAUCGAGCACCUUGAGGCCAAAGUGAGUGAUGACAGCGCGAGAUCUCACCCUCUCAUCGAUUUGUUCAUACCAACCAUCGACAACGAGCACGGCAUAUGCUACACCCAUCCUGAGAAAUUUCCAGGUAUCACACUGAGUGGCCUAAGCCAGCAUUUCUUCCAGCGCAAUUUCAGGGCAUUCAAAAGGGGUACAUGGACACGUCGCAAGAUACAGUCGGAGUGCGGCAUGCACGCGAUGUUGCACAACACCGGCAAUACCUUGCCGCUGAUGGUCAACGGCCGGCAGAUGGGCAGCAAAAAGGUUCUGGUGCUUCACACCAACAAGAACUUCGACCAGCAGAGGACCAACUAG